AAAGAUCUUUAGUCCCGGUUGUUC
Molecule: microRNA, 24 nt
Filed under: Oryza sativa (Asian cultivated rice)
Lineage: Eukaryota; Viridiplantae; Streptophyta; Magnoliopsida; Poales; Poaceae
Description: osa-miR2120
Source: miRBase by way of RNAcentral